Molecule: long non-coding RNA, 343 nt
Filed under: Junco hyemalis (dark-eyed junco)
Lineage: Eukaryota; Metazoa; Chordata; Aves; Passeriformes; Passerellidae
Description: lncRNA (ENSJHYG00000003229.1)
Source: RNAcentral
UGGAGACCUUUUCCUUGACUUAACAGGCUUUAGGAAAGAGAUUGUCCAGCAUUUCCAUUUGAGCUCCACUUAAAGCUGCAGAUCUAUCAGUGUGGUGUACAAACAUGACAGCUAAGCAAAGCCACAGGCUACCAACUGCUGAUGGUCCAAGAUCUCCAUAUGAGAACACACAUUCCCAGGCAUGGCACUGGCCCAGCGGCAAGUGACGGUGCAGGAGGGCCCUCUCUACCGUACAGAGGGCUCCCACAUCACCCUGUGGUGCAAGGUGAGCGGCUACCAGGGCCCGGCAGAGCAGAACUUCCAGUGGUCCAUCUACCUGCCCUCGGCCCCCGAGCGGGAGGUG